CUCCUCCAAGGUGACCAAGAACUGGUGAAGUGAAGUCAAUUUCCUAGUCUCCAUGAACAAAACUGUUCCUGAAGCGUCUCUACUGAUAAUAGGAAGCUUUUUACUUGCUCUUAACACAAUGCUAGAAGCAGCCUGUUACAAAGAAAGCACAACCUGAAAAUCUUAAUGGUAGGCUGUCCGGGCAUGCUGAAAGAUGUCGUUUUGCAACAGCUGGAGGCACACUGGUUGGGAAACACUGCUUUGGACCCAUGAGUGCAAUGCUUGAUAUUAAAU
Long non-coding RNA from Hyla sarda, 273 nucleotides. RefSeq lists it as uncharacterized. NCBI's taxonomy places the organism in Eukaryota, Metazoa, Chordata, Amphibia, Anura, Hylidae. The record is from RefSeq and is a predicted model, not a curated record. The transcript is spliced from 3 exons.